This 253-nucleotide ribosomal RNA is filed under the name uncultured prokaryote. RNAcentral's name for it is "partial 16S ribosomal RNA". It matches the Rfam family "Bacterial small subunit ribosomal RNA", at positions 524 to 776 of the family's 1533-position model. The record is from RNAcentral.
UACGUAGGUGGCAAGCGUUGUCCGGAUUUACUGGGCGUAAAGCGUAUGCAGGCGGAUGUUUAAGUAAGAGGUGAAAGGUUGCGGCUCAACCGCAACACUGCCUCUUAUACUGGACAUCUUGAGUGGCGGAGAGGAAGACGGAACUCCAUGUGUAGCGGUGAAAUGCGUAGAUAUAUGGAGGAACACCAAUGGCGAAAGCAGUCUUCUGGACGCAAACUGACGCUGAGAUACGAAAGCUAUGGUAGCGAACAGG